Molecule: long non-coding RNA, 2743 nt
Organism: Brassica napus (rape)
Lineage: Eukaryota; Viridiplantae; Streptophyta; Magnoliopsida; Brassicales; Brassicaceae
Exons: 2
Source: RefSeq, a predicted model, not a curated record
UUGUUUUAAAAAAAAAAAAAAAAAAAAAUUGACCAAUAGCAGGCCGCCACGUGACGUGGGGCCCGCUGAACAGUAACGACCCGGGUUCAUGCAGAAGGGGCGUGGCGAGACAGAGUCGUGACUGUAGCAUAUUUUAAUAAUUUUUUUUUUCGGGAAGCGUGUGAACCCGCCUAUUGAACCUCUAAUGCGGCUGCCCUUAGUAUUUGUAUAAACUAACCGACUAAUCGUGUGCAGGUCUUUGGAUAUUUGGUUGAGAGUUAUUCAAUGUGGCCCAUUUGUUCUACAACGACCAAAUAGCAAAAAUAUGCCCAUUAGCAAAAAUAUGCCCAUUAUAUUAAACGUGAUUUCACACAUUCCACAUCACAAAUAGUCAAAUACUAUUUAAAAAUAACAACGAAAUUAAAAAAAACACAAACAAAACUGUAAAGAUAUCGAUCCGAGUUAUAGAUUAUAGCUCCGACUUAAGCUUCGGCUUGAUUAAGUUGAUUUAUCUGAUCUCGAUCUUGACAAGUGAAAACGCAAUCAAAAACGAAUCAACACACGAGAAAUGUUCAACGUGGAGAAGUCGCUAUACUCACCAGAGCUAGCGCGCUCAGCUAGCAAUUCACUAUAUAAUCAAUGAGAUUACAAGUGUUCAAUAUCAUGAUCCUGAUAUCGUUUGUUCUUCUUUGCAGCUAUUACAAGCGCAUACACAAGGAGUUAACCGGAGAAGAUUACGCCAGCGACUCCGACGGAGAUGACAGCCUUUUAACUUCUGAUUCCUUCGAUGACGGCAAAGGCUCGUAGCUUGAACCAGAGAAUGUUUGGCGACUUCGAGAGCUGCGAUCACUACCGGAUCUUUUCUAUCUUAGUCUUAGCUUUUUCUUCCAGCUUUUUCCUCGCCGAAUCUUGGACCUGCUCGCGCCAUCAUCGUCAUCUUCCAGCUUUUUAGGCCUUUUCGGGUCGUUUUCCGACUUAAGCAGUUUUACGAUUUUCUAAGAAAUCUCUUUCGAUACGACGUCAGUUUUACGAAAUAACUUAAAUUAAUCGUAUAGUUGAGGCAACUUUGGUGCUUAGUUAACUGUUCACGUUUUAUAUGAUUGAUUCGAACAGAUACGAGAAAACUAGUCUUCACGGUUUUUAUCGUACAGUCUCAACUAUAACUCCAGUCGAGACGAAACAAGAGGUGGUUCACUCGAGACCGGAAGAAAGGAAGCUUGGCUGUCGUAAUAGGCCGGAUUGGAUAUCCCCGCUCGCCAUAUGUCGAGCUUGACUUUGGAUCGUCCCGCUCGCCAUAUGGAGGCGAGCAGGUCCGAUCUCCGGUGAGGAACCGACGAUGAAAUAGGAAGGAGAAGUUGUUGUGAGAGAAGAUGAUGAAACGGGAAAUAGAAGUGGUGGGGUGGUCGUGCGGCGGUGGGGUGGUUGUGCGACGGUGGUGGGGUGGUGUAACGGAAACAUAUUAAUGUAAAUUGAUAUACAGAUUUUGUAUUUUAUUAAUAAAAAUUAUUUUGUUUUGUUUUCAUUUCUGUUUUUUUUUUGGUUUUAAAAUAGCCACUGAUAUGUUGAUUAAACCGUGGCUAUACUUAACCACAAAAAAAACAGUAGCAAAACCGUAGUUAAAAUAGCCAUGAAAAUGGAGUGGCAAAACUGUGGUUAUUAGCCACGAAUAGCCACGAGACUAUAGCCACAGUUUUUUUUUCUAUCCAUAAGUUUGGCUAAUUUUUGUAUAGCCACGAUUUUAAGGUGUAUAACCACGAUUUUAAGCUGUAUGAGACAGAUUUUUACUAGUGAUUCCAGCUUAGAUAAAAAGUGAAAGCCGUGUUCUAUCUAGGUUCCGCUCUGACCUUUCCCGUUCUUUCCUGCUUUAUGUGAAGCUCCCUUUAUCAAAAGAAAGCGCUAGUUCGACUUUUAAAAGAUGGUUUAGCUAGGGACUGCUGUCAGUCGCUUCCCCAUUUUAUUUAUGUAAUUUAUUUCAGAUUGUUAUUAUGUCUUCUAGGAUUAUGUUUAAAACUACUUGUUAGAUUUAAGAAUUUCUAAUGUUCGAUGUUAAAUUGCUGAUCAUAAAACUGAUUGGGGUAUUCAUCAUAUUUAAACGAAGAUUGUUUAUUAGAACGUAAACCAACUCUCACUGAAGAUAAGUAUUUAGUCCACAGCAAAAAUCAUUUUUAAUAAAAUUAGACAUUUGAUAGUUUUCCACAGCGAAAAGUGGCUAACUUACUAUUGAGUUCUAGUUCUAAAAUGAACAAAUUUUGGGUUCACUUUCUAUGAUAAACUCUCAAAUUCAUCUUUAUUAUUAACACCAAUCAAAAUUGCCACGUAGGAUUAGAAGAAAAAAAAAUAUUAAAACUCAAAAAAAAAAGGAAAAUAGCUUUAAAAAAAAUAAAAGACUUCGCUUGUUAACGCCGUCGAUGGCUUCUUCUUUUUCAUCGCUCACAAAGAAGAUGGAAGCUGUGUUUGUCUUGAGUCUCCAAUUCUAUGCUUUCAAAUCGAAUUUCAAUUUCUUCUCCAAGCCAAAUCAAGCCAUGUGUGUUCGUUUUGCGUUUAGGGCCCGAGGAAGAAGAUACUUCUUGCGUUGUGGAUAGAUUUGUUUGUUGCUUAUACAAUUCUCUCUAUCAUUGUCCUUUUCUUUCUCAAUUGUAUUUCAAGAGACAAACGUAGGCAAGAGUUUUGAUAUUAAGACAGUUGUUGUAAUACAAAGAAAAGCAUUAAUAUUGAAUGAUUGAAAAGGAAUCUUGGAAUGUAAAAAAAAAGUUGUUUUGAGCUU